UGGGGAAUAUUGCACAAUGGGCGAAAGCCUGAUGCAGCGACGCCGCGUGCGGGAUGAAGGCCUUCGGGUUGUAAACCGCUUUUGAUUGGGGAGCAAGCGAGAGUGAGUGUACCUUUCGAAUAAGCACCGGCUAACUACGUGCCAGCAGCCGCGGUAAUACGUAGGGUGCAAGCGUUAUCCGGAAUUAUUGGGCGUAAAGAGCUCGUAGGCGGUUUGUCGCGUCUGGUGUGAAAGUCCAUCGCUUAACGGUGGAUCUGCGCCGGGUACGGGCAGGCUAGAGUGCGACAGGGGAGACUGGAAUUCCCGGUGUAACGGUGGAAUGUGUAGAUAUCGGGAAGAACACCAAUGGCGAAGGCAGGUCUCUGGGUCGUCACUGACGCUGAGGAGCGAAAGCGUGGGGAGCGAACAGGAUUAGAUACCCUGGUAGUCCACGCCGUAAACGGUGGAUGCUGGAUGUGGGGCCCAUUCCACGGGUUCCGUGUCGGAGCUAACGCGUUAAGCAUCCCGCCUGGGGAGUACGGCCGCAAGGCUAAAACUCUAAAGUGAAUUGAC
RNAcentral lists this ribosomal RNA (552 nucleotides) under uncultured bacterium. Its description in RNAcentral is "partial 16S ribosomal RNA". It matches the Rfam family "Bacterial small subunit ribosomal RNA", at positions 355 to 914 of the family's 1533-position model. The record is from RNAcentral.